RNAcentral lists this small RNA (111 nucleotides) under Marmota monax (woodchuck). The record is from RNAcentral. Lineage: Eukaryota; Metazoa; Chordata; Mammalia; Rodentia; Sciuridae.
GCUGGGCGCGGUGGUGCACAUCUGUAAUCCCAGCUUUGGGAGGCUGAGACAGGAGGCCACGAGUUCAAACCAGCCUCAGCAACUUAGCAACUCAGUGAGACCCUGUCUCUA